CCUACGGGAGGCAGCAGUGAGGAAUAUUGGUCAAUGGACGAGAGUCUGAACCAGCCAAGUAGCGUGAAGGAUGACUGCCCUAUGGGUUGUAAACUUCUUUUAUAUGGGAAUAAAACGUUCCACGUGUGGGAUUUUGUAUGUACCAUAUGAAUAAGGAUCGGCUAACUCCGUGCCAGCAGCCGCGGUAAUACGGAGGAUCCGAGCGUUAUCCGGAUUUAUUGGGUUUAAAGGGUGCGUAGGUGGAAUGUUAAGUCAGUUGUGAAAGUUUGGGGCUCAACCGUAAAAUUGCAGUUGAAACUGGCAGUCUUGAGUGCAGUAGAGGUGGGCGGAAUUCGUGGUGUAGCGGUGAAAUGCUUAGAUAUCACGAAGAACUCCGAUUGCGAAGGCAGUUCACUGGACUGCAACUGACACUGAGGCUCGAAAGUGUGGGUAUCAAACAGGAUUAGAUACCCCUGUAGUC
RNAcentral lists this ribosomal RNA (460 nucleotides) under uncultured bacterium. Its description in RNAcentral is "partial 16S ribosomal RNA". It matches the Rfam family "Bacterial small subunit ribosomal RNA", at positions 338 to 795 of the family's 1533-position model. The record is from RNAcentral.